ACGACAACUGACGCUGAGGCGCGAAAGCGUGGGGAGCAAACAGGAUUAGAUACCCUGGUAGUCCACGCCGUAAACGAUGGAUACUAGGUGUGGGGGGACUGACCCCCUCCGUGCCGCAGUAAACACAAUAAGUAUCCCACCUGGGGAGUACGACCGCAAGGUUGAAACUCAAAGGAAUUGACGGGGGCCCGCACAAGCAGUGGAUUAUGUGGUUUAAUUCGACGCAACGCGAAGAACCUUACCGGGAUUUGACAUCCUGCUAACGAAGUAGAGAUACAUUAGGUGCCCUUCGGGGAAAGCAGAGACAGGUGGUGCAUGGUUGUCGUCAGCUCGUGUCGUGAGAUGUUGGGUUAAGUCCCGCAACGAGCGCAACCCUUAUUGUUAGUUGCUACGCAAGAGCACUCUAGCGAGACUGCCGUUGACAAAACGGAGGAAGGCGGGGACGACGUCAAAUCAUCAUGCCCCUUAUGUCCCGGGCUACACACGUAAUACAAUGGCGUUAAACAGAGGGAAGCAAAGCCGCGAGGCAGAGCAAAACCCUAAAAGGCGUCUCAGUUCGGAUCGCAGUCUGCAACUCGACUGCGUGAAGUUGGAAUGCUAG
Molecule: ribosomal RNA, 601 nt
Filed under: uncultured bacterium
Lineage: Bacteria
Description: bacterial SSU rRNA
Rfam family: Bacterial small subunit ribosomal RNA
Source: RNAcentral